RNAcentral lists this ribosomal RNA (237 nucleotides) under uncultured bacterium. Its description in RNAcentral is "partial 16S ribosomal RNA". It matches the Rfam family "Bacterial small subunit ribosomal RNA", at positions 100 to 334 of the family's 1533-position model. The record is from RNAcentral.
CCGGUACGGGUGGAGUAACACGUAUCCAACCUGCCGUCUACUCUUGGACAGCCUCUGAAAGGAAGAUUAAUACAAGAUGGCAUCAUGAGUCCACAUGUUCACAUGAUUAAAGGUAUUCCGGUAGACGAUGGGGAUGCGUUCCAUUAGAUAGUAGGCGGGGUAACGGCCCACCUAGUCUUCAAUGGAUAGGGGUUCUGAGAGGAAGGUCCCCCACAUUGGAACUGAGACACGGUCCAA